GAUGAACGCUGGCGGCGUGCCUAAUACAUGCAAGUCGAGCGAACGGACGAGAAGCUUGCUUCUCUGAUGUUAGCGGCGGACGGGUGAGUAACACGUGGAUAACCUACCUAUAAGACUGGGAUAACUUCGGGAAACCGGAGCUAAUACCGGAUGAUAUUUUGAACCGCAUGGUUCAAAAGUGAAAGACGGUCUUUCUGUCACUUAUAGAUGGAUCCGCGCUGCAUUAGCUAGUUGGUAAGGUAACGGCUUACCAAGGCAACGAUGCAUAGCCGACCUGAGAGGGUGAUCGGCCACACUGGAACUGAGACACGGUCCAGACUCCUACGGGAGGAAGCAGUAGGGAAUCUUCCGCAAUGGGCGAAAGCAUGACGGAGCAACGCCGCGUGAGUGAUGAAGGUCUUCGGAUCGUAAAACUCUGUUAUUAGGGAAGAACAUAUGUGUAAGUAACUGUGCACAUCUUGACGGUACCUAAUCAGAAAGCCACGGCUAACUACGUG
RNAcentral lists this ribosomal RNA (497 nucleotides) under uncultured bacterium. Its description in RNAcentral is "partial 16S ribosomal RNA". It matches the Rfam family "Bacterial small subunit ribosomal RNA", at positions 28 to 507 of the family's 1533-position model. The record is from RNAcentral.